RNAcentral lists this ribosomal RNA (421 nucleotides) under uncultured bacterium. RNAcentral describes it as "bacterial SSU rRNA". It matches the Rfam family "Bacterial small subunit ribosomal RNA", at positions 36 to 502 of the family's 1533-position model. The record is from RNAcentral.
CUGGCGGCACGCCUAACACAUGCAAGUCGAACGAAGUAGCAAUACUUAGUGGCAGACGGGUGAGUAACAUGUAGGUAUCUGCCCUUUGGCCUGGAAUAACACGAGGAAACUUGUGCUAAUACCGGAUAAGUCUUUACAGAGAAAGCUUUAUGCACCAUUGGAUGAGCCUGCACUUGAUUAGUUUGUUGGUGGGGUAAUGGCCUACCAAGACUGUGAUCAAUAGCUGAUUUGAGAGGAUGAUCAGCCACAUUGGGACUGAGACACGGCCCAAACUCCUACGGGAGGCAGCAGUGGGGAAUCUUGCACAAUGGAGGAAACUCUGAUGCAGCGAUGCCGCGUGAGUGAAGAAGGCCUUUGGGUUGUAAAGCUCUUUCGUCGGGGAAGAAAAUGACUGUACCCGAAUAAGAAGGUCCGGCUAACU